RNAcentral lists this unclassified non-coding RNA (333 nucleotides) under Chytridiomycota sp. RNAcentral describes it as "partial contains small subunit ribosomal RNA, internal transcribed spacer 1, and 5.8S ribosomal RNA". The stretch from base 1 to 47 matches the Rfam family "Eukaryotic small subunit ribosomal RNA", at positions 1785 to 1831 of the family's 1831-position model. Lineage: Eukaryota; Fungi; Chytridiomycota. The record is from RNAcentral.
AAAGUCGUAACAAGGUAACCGUAGGUGAUCCUGCGGUUGGAUCAUUAGUAUAACUUGGGCUCUUCGGGGCUUUUGGAUGACAUUUGGCCCAGUGCCCGACGGGGCGUAUACAUGCUGGUCCGAAUGUGAACCAUAACAUUAUGUGAACUGUAUUGUCUCUGGCGGGGGGGUGAAGCAUACGUUAUUUGCUUUAUCUGUCAGCUUGAUGUAACCUUAUGUCAAGUCGUGGACAUCCCGUCAAACACUUGUCAAACCUAUUGUCUUUUUUUUUUGUCUAACAAUUUUUUUGUAUCAAUAUACAAACAACUUUUGGCAACGGAUCUCUUGGCUCUC